Molecule: long non-coding RNA, 1904 nt
Organism: Anolis carolinensis (green anole)
Lineage: Eukaryota; Metazoa; Chordata; Lepidosauria; Squamata; Anolidae
Exons: 2
Source: RefSeq, a predicted model, not a curated record
CCCACUUCUCCUCAUGGCUUGAGGCAGGUUACAAAAUAAUUAAAACACAUAAACACACAGAACAGCACUUUCAUCCCAUUCCCUUGGUCCUUAGCUACAACUUGCACUAGACCUUUCCUUUUUUCUUGUUUAUAGUUGGCCAUGUGUUAUGACAGAUGACACUAUAGAUUAUUGGGUGCUGUUCUGAGAUCAAAUUGUUUUAUAUACUAGCAGUUUUAUUUUUUAUUGUACUGUGUGUUUAUUUUAUGUAUUGUUUUAUGUAUUGUUUUAUGUAUGUAUUGUGCCAUAUGUAAGCUUCCCUGAGUCCCUUUAGGGAGAUAGAGGCAGGGUACAAAAAUAAAAUUGUUGUUGUUAUUAUUAUUAUUAUUGUAAAAAUUCCACAAAUAAACAUAUUAAAACAUAUUUAUAUAAAAUACAUAUUAAAAUACACAAAACAGAGAUAGGGAGGGAUUGUGUAUGUGUGUGUGCAUGAGAGAGCGAGUUGCAAUUUUUGUAGACAGAAUGUGCAUUCUAAAAUGGGAUGGGCUCAAAUCAAGUCUUCAAGAAGCACUUUCUAAUAGUACUUUAUCUCCAUCACUAUCAUCUUUGUGGUUUCUGAGAAGAUCAGGCCAUUGUAGACCUGCUGUCCUUAACUAUGUGCCCUCUAAAUACAUUGUGCUACAACUCAAUUAUAUGGAUUAGGGAUUUGGAAUUUUGUAGCCUUACAUAUCCAGAAUGGGAUUGGGUGAAGCCUAAUCUAAAUAGUUGCUUCUAGAAGUUACUUUGGAUAUGAUAAUAGUAGUAAUAGGGGCCACCUCUCGUCAAACUCAUUUUUGACAGGUGCCACGCCCCCCUUGAAGCAGGAAGUCCUGCCCCUUGAAGCAGGAAGUGCCACCUCCUAAAAGAGGAACUCCCUCCUCCUAAAAACAGGAAAUGCAAUCCCGGGAGACCCUUCCCCCUGAGGUGAAGCCCUCCCACAACCCACAGCCCACCCCCACCCCCCCCCAGGGGCAAGCACAGACAUGUUUCAAUGAGGCAUUCAUGGUGAUGCGUAUGGGCUGAAAGGCCCCUUGCCUAGACUGACCCCUCUGCUUGAGGAAAUGGGGCAGCCAGGACCGUGUGCUAGGUCUUAGUGGUGAGCUCUGUGCUCUGUGACCAACAGCCAAUGGAUUUAGGGCCAUAAGGUCAUCAUGUGAUACUGGGAGGGCCCAUUAGGGCGGAGCUUUUAGGAAUAAAUACUCCAUGUGAGUUUUAGUGCAUCCCUUGACUGCUUUCAGAGGAAUGGAAAAUAUGGAAUUAUCAGAUGCCAGUGUUUCUUCCUCAGAGCUACCUGAUUCAACAGUUGAUGAAUCCCAAAGCAGGAAACGCUUCAUAAGUUCAAGUUCUGAUGAGGAUGAUGACUGUGAUUUAGCUAAAAGAAAAUGUGAGGAAGACCGGGUGGUUUCCGAAUCAGCUAACAGGCUUUUGGAAACACUUUCAUCAGAACCAGCAAUACCAUCCUCUGAGCAGGUAAAAAACAUAAAACUAUUAUUCUGAUCCCUCUUAGGGUUGAAAGGGUCUAUUUCAAGGAGCAAAAUUGUGAACUGAAAGCACUUACACUUAUCUUUUAAAUCAUUUUAGGUGGUUACAGAAAAUUCAUCAGGGGCAGCUAAAGAAGAAGAAGUUAAGUCACCAUCUAUCGCUGCUAUUUGGAAGCUAUGCUGCGUAGCAUCAAGCCAGCUACAAGAGACCCCUGAAAUGAGUGCUAUUCAACGCCCAGGCCAUGUGAUUAUGUCAAGCAUUCUUGGAUUGGAUGUCAAGACUGAAACAGGGAAUGUAGAGCAGAAGACGGUCAUGUUGGAGACCGCCAAAGCAACCGUUUACGGGAUAUUAGAUCACUGUUUAAACGAAAUAUUAUUUGAGGCGUGUCCGGGUUGUCAGAUUUU